GAAAUGCGAUAAGUAAUGUGAAUUGCAGAAUUCAGUGAAUCAUCGAAUCUUUGAACGCACAUUGCGCUCGCCAGUAUUCUGGCGAGCAUGCCUGUUCGAGCGUCUUUUCAACCAUCAAGCUCUGCUUGCGUUGGGGAUCCGCGGCUGCCCGCGGUCCCUCAAAAACAGUGGCGGGCUCGCUAGUCACACCGAGCGUAGUAACUCUACAUCGCUAUGGUCGUGCGGCGGGUUCUUGCCGUAAAACCCCCAAUUUCUAAGGUUGACCUCGGAUCAGGUAGGAAUACCCGCUGAACUUAAGC
This 299-nucleotide unclassified non-coding RNA is filed under the name plant metagenome. RNAcentral's name for it is "partial contains 5.8S ribosomal RNA, internal transcribed spacer 2, and large subunit ribosomal RNA". The stretch from base 1 to 105 matches the Rfam family "5.8S ribosomal RNA", at positions 50 to 154 of the family's 154-position model. The record is from RNAcentral.